GCUGUGGCUCAGUGGCAAAGCAACUGCUUUUCAUGCAGAAGGUCCCAGGUUCAAUCCCCAGCAUCUCCA
This is a non-coding RNA of Podarcis lilfordi (Lilford's wall lizard), 69 nucleotides long. The record is from the annotation of a GenBank genome assembly. Lineage: Eukaryota; Metazoa; Chordata; Lepidosauria; Squamata; Lacertidae.